UGGGGGAAUUUUUGGACAAUGGGCGAAAGCCUGAUCCAGCAAUGCCGCGUGUGUGAAGAAGGCCUUCGGGUUGUAAAGCACUUUUGUCCGGAAAGAAAUCCUUGGCUCUAAUACAGUCGGGGGAUGACGGUACCGGAAGAAUAAGCACCGGCUAACUACGUGCCAGCAGCCGCGGUAAUACGUAGGGUGCAAGCGUUAAUCGGAAUUACUGGGCGUAAAGCGUGCGCAGGCGGUUUGCUAAGACCGAUGUGAAAUCCCCGGGCUCAACCUGGGGAACUGCAUUGGUGACUGGCAGGCUAGAGUAUGGCAGAGGGGGGUAGAAUUCCACGUGUAGCAGUGAAAUGCGUAGAGAUGUGGAGGAAUACCGAUGGCGAAGGCAGCCCCCUGGGGCCAAAUACUGACGCUCAUGCACGAAAGCGUGGGGGAGCAAAACAGGAUUAGAUACCCUGGUAGUCCACGCCCUAAAACGAUGUCAACUAGUUGUUGGGGAUUCAUUUCCUUAGUAACGUAGCUAACGCGUGAAGUUGA
This 528-nucleotide ribosomal RNA is filed under the name uncultured bacterium. RNAcentral's name for it is "partial 16S ribosomal RNA". It matches the Rfam family "Bacterial small subunit ribosomal RNA", at positions 353 to 868 of the family's 1533-position model. The record is from RNAcentral.